Molecule: long non-coding RNA, 439 nt
Organism: Lagopus leucura (white-tailed ptarmigan)
Lineage: Eukaryota; Metazoa; Chordata; Aves; Galliformes; Phasianidae
Exons: 4
Source: RefSeq, a predicted model, not a curated record
CAGAAGUGAGAAGAGAGGCACAGAUCUCUCCUGGCUCUGACAGCUGCAGUUCAGCCUCCCACCUAUCCCAUCUCUGACAACCUGCUCUGACAGUCCCAGUGUGAGGAAAGUUGCUACAUUACCCUUGAGAAGAGAAUAACAUCCCCUACAAGCAGAAGCCAGCAGAACUUCCCAAAAGUUGUCUAAGGGUCUCUUGCUGGAGGAAAAAGGUCUGAAAAAAUUGAGGUUGCACAGUGGCUGUACCCAUGGAGAAGGAGAAAGGGGCGUAUCUCCAAGUAACUUUGGUCACAUCUCACAAUGGAUAAAUCUUGCUUCUCAAAGCAGUGUGCAGAAAGGCCAGAUGAAAUACAGAAGGACAAAGCCCACCAAGCUCUGUGCAGCCAUGUCUGGUGAUGUGUUUCAUCUCAACUACCUUCAUGCACCAGCUUCUAUGGGCAUU